Molecule: ribosomal RNA, 827 nt
Filed under: Psora decipiens
Lineage: Eukaryota; Fungi; Ascomycota; Lecanoromycetes; Lecanorales; Psoraceae
Description: LSU rRNA
Rfam family: Eukaryotic large subunit ribosomal RNA
Source: RNAcentral
AAGCGGCAACAGCUCAAAUUUGAAAUCUGACCCUUUGGGGUCCGAGUUGUAAUUUGCAGAGGGUGUUUCGGGCACGGUGCCGGUUUAAGUCCUUUGGAACAGGGCGUCAGAGAGGGUGAGAACCCCGUAUGUGACCGGUCGCCAAACCCAUGUGAAACCCCUUCGACGAGUCGAGUUGUUUGGGAAUGCAGCUCAAAAUGGGUGGUAAAUUUCAUCUAAAGCUAAAUAUUGGCCAGAGACCGAUAGCGCACAAGUAGAGUGAUCGAAAGAUGAAAAGCACUUUGGAAAGAGAGUCAAACAGCACGUGAAAUUGUUGAAAGGGAAGCGCUUGCGACCAGACCUGCUCGCGGGUGAUCAGCGGUGCUUUUCGCGCCGUGCACUCAUCCGCGAUCAGGCCAGCAUCGGUUCAGGCGGCCGGAUAAAGACUCGGAGAAUGUAGCUCCCUCCGGGGAGUGUUAUAGCUCCUUGUGCAAUACGGCCAGCCGGGACCGAGGACCGCGCUUCGGCUAGGAUGCUGGCGUAAUGGUCGUAAGCGACCCGUCUUGAAACACGGACCAAGGAGUCUAACAUCUGUGCGAGUGUUUGGGCGUCAAACCCAUGCGCGCAAUGAAAGUGAACGUGAGGUGGGAACCCUUUCGGGGGCGCACCAUCGACCGAUCCAGAUGUCUUCGGAUGGAUUUGAGUAAGAGCACAGCUGUUGGGACCCGAAAGAUGGUGAACUAUGCCUGAAUAGGGUGAAGCCAGAGGAAACUCUGGUGGAGGCUCGCAGCGGUUCUGACGUGCAAAUCGAUCGUCAAAUUUGGGUAUAGGGGCGAAAGACUAAUCGA